This 65-nucleotide ribosomal RNA is filed under the name Aureobasidium pullulans. RNAcentral's name for it is "partial 26S ribosomal RNA". The record is from RNAcentral. Lineage: Eukaryota; Fungi; Ascomycota; Dothideomycetes; Dothideales; Saccotheciaceae.
UUCUAGGUUGACCUCGGAUCAGUAGAGGAACCCGCUGAACUUAAGCAUAUCAAUAAGCCGGAGGA